GACGAACGCUGGCGGCGUGCCUAACACAUGCAAGUCGAGCGGAGCCAAUUAACAGAUCCCUUCGGGGUGACGUUGAGGAAGCUUAGCGGCGAACGGGUGAGUAACGCGUGAGAAACCUGCCUCUCAGUGGGGGACAACAGUUGGAAACGACUGCUAAUACCGCAUAACACUUUAGUACCGCAUGGUACAGAAGUCAAAGCUUUAUGUGCUGAGAGAUGGUCUCGCGUCUGAUUAGAUAGUUGGUGAGGUAACGGCUCACCAAGUCGACGAUCAGUAGCCGGACUGAGAGGUUGAACGGCCACAUUGGGACUGAGACACGGCCCAGACUCCUACGGGAGGCAGCAGUGAGGGAUAUUGCACAAUGGGCGAAAGCCUGAUGCAGCAACGCCGCGUGAGGGAUGACGGUUUUCGGAUUGUAAACCUCUGUCUUCAGUGACGAAUCAAUGACGGUAACUGAGGAGGAAGCCACGGCUAACU
RNAcentral lists this ribosomal RNA (477 nucleotides) under uncultured bacterium. Its description in RNAcentral is "bacterial SSU rRNA". It matches the Rfam family "Bacterial small subunit ribosomal RNA", at positions 28 to 502 of the family's 1533-position model. The record is from RNAcentral.